GAUCAUGGCUCAGGAUGAACGCUGGCGGCGUGCUUAACACAUGCAAGUCGAACGGGGUUUACGAGAAGCUUGCUUUUGUAAACCUAGUGGCGGACGGGUGAGUAACGCGUGAGUAACCUGCCUUAGACUGGGGGAUAACACUUAGAAAUAGGUGCUAAUACCGCAUAAGCGCACGGUAUCGCAUGAUACAGUGUGAAAAACUCCGGUGGUCUAAGAUGGACUCGCGUCUGAUUAGCUGGUUGGUGAGGUAACGGCCCAUCAAGGCGACGGUCAGUAGCCGGCCUGAGAGGGUGAACGGCCACAUUGGGACUGAGACACGGCCCAAACUCCUACGGGAGGCAGCAGUGGGGGAUAUUGCACAAUGGGCGAAAGCCUGAUGCAAGCGACGCCGCGUGAGUGAAGAAGUAUUUCGGUAUGUAAAGCUCUAUCAGCAGGGAAGAAAAUGACGGUACCUGACUAAGAAGCCCCGGCUAACUACGUGCCAGCAGCCGC
RNAcentral lists this ribosomal RNA (492 nucleotides) under uncultured bacterium. RNAcentral's name for it is "bacterial SSU rRNA". It matches the Rfam family "Bacterial small subunit ribosomal RNA", at positions 15 to 518 of the family's 1533-position model. The record is from RNAcentral.